RNAcentral lists this transfer RNA (89 nucleotides) under Clostridiales bacterium. Its description in RNAcentral is "tRNA-Leu". It matches the Rfam family "tRNA". Rfam says of the family: Transfer RNA (tRNA) molecules are approximately 80 nucleotides in length. Their secondary structure includes four short double-helical elements and three loops (D, anti-codon, and T loops). Further hydrogen bonds mediate the characteristic L-shaped molecular structure. tRNAs have two regions of fundamental functional importance: the anti-codon, which is responsible for specific mRNA codon recognition, and the 3' end, to which the tRNAs corresponding amino acid is attached (by aminoacyl-tRNA synthetases). tRNAs cope with the degeneracy of the genetic code in two manners: having more than one tRNA (with a specific anti-codon) for a particular amino acid; and 'wobble' base-pairing, i.e. permitting non-standard base-pairing at the 3rd anti-codon position. Lineage: Bacteria; Bacillati; Bacillota; Clostridia; Eubacteriales. RNAcentral also lists the same sequence under 1 other name. The record is from RNAcentral.
GCCGGGGUGGCGGAACUGGCAGACGCACAGGACUUAAAAUCCUGGGCCCCUUAAGGGGCGUGUGGGUUCGAUUCCCACCCUCGGUACCA